CCUACGGGAGGCAGCAGUGGGGAAUAUUGGACAAUGGGCGAAAGCCUGAUCCAGCCAUGCCGCGUGUGUGAAGAAGGUCUUCGGAUUGUAAAGCACUUUAAGUUGGGAGGAAGGGCAUUAACCUAAUACGUUAGUGUUUUGACGUUACCGACAGAAUAAGCACCGGCUAACUCUGUGCCAGCAGCCGCGGUAAUACAGAGGGUGCAAGCGUUAAUCGGAAUUACUGGGCGUAAAGCGCGCGUAGGUGGUUUGUUAAGUUGGAUGUGAAAUCCCCGGGCUCAACCUGGGAACUGCAUUCAAAACUGACUGACUAGAGUAUGGUAGAGGGUGGUGGAAUUUCCUGUGUAGCGGUGAAAUGCGUAGAUAUAGGAAGGAACACCAGUGGCGAAGGCGACCACCUGGACUAAUACUGACACUGAGGUGCAAAAGCGUGGGGAGCAAACAGGAUUAGAUACCCUGGUAGUCCACGCCGUAAACGAUGUCAACUAGCCGUUGGGAGCUGNGCUCUUGUGGCGCGAGCUACGCGAUUAGUUGACCGCCGUGGGGAGGACGGCCGGCGUAAGUUAAACGUUACGAAGUAAGUUAGUUACGGCGNGNGACGNGCGACGGACGACGACGAGGGAGGAGG
RNAcentral lists this ribosomal RNA (628 nucleotides) under uncultured bacterium. RNAcentral's name for it is "bacterial SSU rRNA". The stretch from base 1 to 540 matches the Rfam family "Bacterial small subunit ribosomal RNA", at positions 338 to 873 of the family's 1533-position model. The record is from RNAcentral.